CCUACGGGAGACAGCAGUGAGGAAUAUUGGUCAAUGUACGCGAGUCUGAAGCAGCCAUGUAGCGUGAAGGAUGACUGCCCUAUGGGUUGUAAACUUCUUUUAUAUGGGAAUAAAAUGUUCCACGUGUGGGAUUUUGUAUGUACCAUAUGAAUAAGGAUCGGCUAACUCCGUGCCAGCCGCCGCGCUAAUACGGAGGAUCCGAGAGUUAUCCGGAUUUAUUGGGUGUAAAGGGAGCGUAGGUGGAUUGUUAAGUCAGUUGUGAAAGUUUGCGGCUCAACCGUAAAAUUGCAUUUGAAACUGGCAGUCUUGCGUACAGUAGAGGUGGGCAGAAUUCGUGGUGUAGCGGUGAAAUGCGUAGAUAUCACGAAGAACUCCGAUUGCGAAGGCAGCUCACUGGACUGCAACUGACACUGAGGCUCGAAAGUGUGGGUAUCAAACAGGAUUAGAUACCCGGGUAGUC
This 460-nucleotide ribosomal RNA is filed under the name uncultured bacterium. RNAcentral's name for it is "partial 16S ribosomal RNA". It matches the Rfam family "Bacterial small subunit ribosomal RNA", at positions 338 to 795 of the family's 1533-position model. The record is from RNAcentral.